CAAAGGCUUGGUCCUGACUUUACUCCUGACUUUACUAUCAGCCCUAACCGAACUUACACAUGCAAGUAUCCGCACCCCCGUGAGAAUGCCCUCAAAACCCCGCCCGGGAAUGAGGGGCAGACAUCAGGCACGCCCCGCAGCCCAAGACGUCUUGCUUAGCCACACCCCCAAGGGAACUCAGCAGUGAUAAACAUUAGGCAAUAAGUGAAAACUUGACCUAGUUAUGGUUAUCUUUUUGAGGGCCGGUAAAACUCGUGCCAGCCACCGCGGUUAUACGAGAGGCCCAAGCUGAUAGGAAACGGCGUAAAGAGUGGUUAGGGAAAUUUUAAUACUAAAGCUAAACGCCUGCAAAGCCGUUAUACGCACCCGAAGGCAUGAAAACCCCCCACGAAAGUGGCUUUAACCCCACCCCGAACCCACGACAGCUUUGACACAAACUGGGAUUAGAUACCCCACUAUGCCCAGCCGUAAACUUUGAUAGUACCCCACAAUUUCUAUCCGCCCGGGAACUACAAGCACCAGCUUAAAACCCAAAGGACUUGGCGGUGCUUUAGACCCACCUAGAGGAGCCUGUUCUAGAACCGAUACCCCCCGUUCAACCUCACCACUUCUUGUUAUCCCCGCCUAUAUACCGCCGUCGUCAGCUUACCCUGUGAAGGCCUAGUAGUAAGCUAAAUUGGCACAGCCCAAAACGUCAGGUCGAGGUGUAGCGUACGAAGUGCGGAAGAAAUGGGCUACAUUUUCUGACCCAGAAAACUUUACGGAAGGAAAAAUGAAAAACAAACCCGAAGGAGGAUUUAGCAGUAAGCAGAAAGUAGAGCGUUCUGCUGAAACUGGCCCUUAAGCGCGCACACACCGCCCGUCACUCUCCCCGAAUCCAAAUUUCUUAUAUAAUUAAUCCGAAUAUAUAGGGCAAAGGGGAGGCAAGUCGUAACAUGGUAAGUGUACCGGAAGGUGCACUUGGUUAACA
This 970-nucleotide non-coding RNA is filed under the name Neoscopelus microchir. Its description in RNAcentral is "12S rRNA". It matches the Rfam family "Bacterial small subunit ribosomal RNA". Lineage: Eukaryota; Metazoa; Chordata; Actinopteri; Myctophiformes; Neoscopelidae. The record is from RNAcentral.